CAGGAUCCAUCAGCAAUAACUUCCACCCCAUGGCAUGGUCCCAUCCCUCGUGGAAUUCCUGGGAAUAAUAGAAGAGGCGUAAGAAAUGACCUUCACCUGGAAGCGGGUCCCAGCGGUCCCUCUGAUGUGCUCCCCUAAAGUAAGUCGUUUCAGCAAGUGAAUCCAAACUCUCCAGUCCAUUCCGAGAAGACGCUGAUGGGAGCAGAGACGCCCUCAGCUUUUCCCACACCUGCCUGGUGACUCUGUUCAACAGGUUAAUGGGGCCGUUGAAAUGGGAAGAAGCUGGAAGCCAAGAGCAUGAGGCUAAAACAGUGAGUUUUUUCAAGUGAGAAGCAACAAGAAAGUGUGUUUAUGCUUUCUCAUUGCCAGAGACUGAAUCCUCCCUCCUGCCCAGCCCCUUGCCAGUGAGGAGGGGCGCCUCGUUCCCAAAGCCCGCAGGCCGAGGCGUUACUGCCUCUCAUGGAUGAGUUUGAGGUUCCAGAGCUCUCUCCCUGCCCUGGAAGCUGCUCCCUCAGUGGAGAGGGGACUGUGCAUCCCUGGGUGCCGGCUGCUCCUCUGUCCAGACGAUGGCAGUGAGCCAGACCUGCUGAGGUCCUGUGUGGGGAAUCUCCACGCCUGCCCGCUGGCCCAUCUCCCCUCCUGACCUUUCUCCCUGUC
Diceros bicornis minor is the source of this 657-nucleotide long non-coding RNA. RefSeq lists it as uncharacterized. Lineage: Eukaryota; Metazoa; Chordata; Mammalia; Perissodactyla; Rhinocerotidae. The record is from RefSeq and is a predicted model, not a curated record. The transcript has 3 exons.